This 496-nucleotide ribosomal RNA is filed under the name uncultured bacterium. RNAcentral describes it as "partial 16S ribosomal RNA". It matches the Rfam family "Bacterial small subunit ribosomal RNA", at positions 29 to 507 of the family's 1533-position model. The record is from RNAcentral.
AACGAACGCUGGCGGCGUGUCUUAAGCAUGCAAGUCGAACGGCAGGAGAGGUGCUUGCUUCUGGCCUAGAGUGGCGGACGGGUGAGGAACACGUGGGUACUCUACCCUUAAGAUGGGGAUAGCUGCUAGAAAUAGCAGGUAUUACCCAAUGCACUCAGCAUAGCACACGGGGGGCUGAGGGGAGUAAGCUACUGCUGCGGUUGGGGAGGAGCUUGCGUCUGAUUAGCUAGUUGGUGGGGUAAAGGCGCACCAAGGCGACGAUUAGUAUCCGGCCUGAGAGGACGACCAGCCACACUGGGACUGAGACACGGCCCAGACUCCUACGGGAGGCAGCAGUGAGGAAUUUUCGACAAUGGACGGAAGUCUGAUCGAGCAAUGCCGCGUGGGUGAAGAAGGCCGUCAGGUUGUAAAGCACUUUUGUUCGGAAAGAAAUCCGGUGCCCUAAUACGGUCGGCUGAUGACGGUACCGGAAGAAUAAGCACCGGCUAACUACGUG